This 1788-nucleotide unclassified non-coding RNA is filed under the name Bombyx mandarina (wild silkworm). Its description in RNAcentral is "uncharacterized LOC114243153, transcript variant X3". Lineage: Eukaryota; Metazoa; Arthropoda; Insecta; Lepidoptera; Bombycidae. The record is from RNAcentral.
GUCUUUGACAGUUUUAUGUGUCAAGGUAAACUUAAAAGUAAAAUCUACGUUGUGAACAUUGAAUUUUCUGAAUCGAUUUCACAUUUUUGUGUUUUUAAAUUAAGUGAAGUGUUAUAAAAAUAAAAUAAUGAGGCUUUUUAUGAACUGUUAUGUGGCUAAAGAUAAAGUGGAUCGAUUAAACAAAUCAUGAUACCAAACCCAUUUUAAAUUUUAAACCAAGACUUAAACAAUGUUAAUAAAAAAACUUGUUCCUAUGACUGUUAAUAAUUAUAUUAGUUAGAAUUGAAUCAUGGAGGAGAAAUUGAACGGGGAAUACUUCGAAGGUCAAGCGGAAGGCUUCAAUUACAAUAAUCUGACGGGCGGUGCGGACAGUGCCAGCGGAGGGUCUGGUGGCUCGGGCAUGGAAUGUCUUCCUCUCCGUUCUCAAUCAUUCCACUACCUUGUCUCAGAGCAGGCUAAAUCCCUCGUCGCAUUACAGGAACUCCAGAAUGAGGUCGGGGCCCUGCUCGAGUUCCGCGACCUCGUCAUCGAGACGUUCCCGAAUCUUCGGUCAAAGAUGGCGCCGUCGCGCGGGAACAGCGUUACUCGGCGCGACUGGGAGCCCGGAGUGCGCGUGCGGCGCAAGCUCCCCGCGCCACAAGAGCCGCGAGCUAAACCUCAUCCCUCCGUGCAAGACUCCGGCUUCAGCACAGAGACCUCAUGCAAGGAAGCGCAUUCGUCCGCAUCCGCGUCGGCUUCAGCGUCGAGGUCGCGUCCGUUGGAAGACGAACUGUGGGCGUUACUUGAUGUCAUCCAACGUAAGGGCGGCAGGUUGCGGGAAGAGGCCGAACUGCUGCGUGGGGAACUCGACGAGCGGGCUACAGCCGAAGACGAAUUCACCCACACCGUCUCACACCAGCACUGCGAUUGUGAACAUGUACAGAGGUUGCGCGAGGAACGAGACGCCUUGCUCGAAAGAACAGCGCAGCUUGAAGCGCAGGUGCAUUCGUCGAGCAAGCCGACAUCGGCGCUGGGCCGGCUGGACUCUACGUUUGGUUCGCCGUCACGAGUGCGCGUGCCGACUCCCGAUUCGGAAAAGUUCGCGGCGAUUCUACUCGAGAGCAAUCCCGUCGAACUGCAGAGACAACUCCUCAACUCCACCGUUCAGAAUCAGGUUUUAAGUGAACGGCUGAAACGUGUCGUUGCGCAGCGUUCGUCACUUUUCGAAAGAUUAGAAAGAGCGCGAGAUGUCAACGAAGAUCUAAAAUUUAGAUUGGAGGAAAAGAGCAUAGAGGCGGAGACGGCCCGGGGUCGCGUGCGGCAGCUGGAGGCGGGCGCGCACAGCAGCAUGCGGGAGAUGGAGCCGCUGGCGCUCCCGGGCGAGGCUCCCGGGCGCCGGGCGCGGCCCUCCCGCAUCCCGCUGCACAAGGGCGCCGCCCCCCGCCAGCCGCCGCCCCGCCCCCCCUCCGCACACUCGCAGCGCUCGACCAAGUCCGCGGUGCCCGUGCGCCGGGAGCCCGCGCCCGACGCCAAGGUGCGCGCGCGCUCCUUCUGGAACAAUUGGUUCUUUAAAGACUCCUAGGGGACAGCGCCCCCCUCCCCCUCGUGCUAAAACCCACCGUGUGAGAGUGCACCAGUGACUCGCUUCCGUCCGGUUACGGUUAACGCUCGCCGGCCCAUGCCAUUAUGUCGAUAAGCGGCUCGAGCGCGGAGUGGGAGGUGGCGUGGGAGUACGUGCGUCGGCUCGCCCGCCUCGAGCCGCGCCUGCCCGCCGCGCGCUCGCUGGCCGCCGAGCUGCUCAGCGCCGAC